Molecule: ribosomal RNA, 784 nt
Filed under: uncultured bacterium
Lineage: Bacteria
Description: bacterial SSU rRNA
Rfam family: Bacterial small subunit ribosomal RNA
Source: RNAcentral
AGAGUUUGAUCCUGGCUCAGAUUGAACGCUGGCGGCAGGCUUAACACAUGCAAGUCGAGCGGGGAGAUGUAGCUUGCUACAUUUCCUAGCGGCGGACGGGUGAGUAAUGCUUAGGAAUCUGCCUAUUAGUGGGGGACAACAUUCCGAAAGGAAUGCUAAUACCGCAUACGCCCUACGGGGGAAAGCAGGGGAUCUUCGGACCUUGCGCUAAUAGAUGAGCCUAAGUCAGAUUAGCUAGUUGGUGGGGUAAAGGCCUACCAAGGCGACGAUCUGUAGCGGGUCUGAGAGGAUGAUCCGCCACACUGGGACUGAGACACGGCCCAGACUCCUACGGGAGGCAGCAGUGGGGAAUAUUGGACAAUGGGCGAAAGCCUGAUCCAGCCAUGCCGCGUGUGUGAAGAAGGCCUUUUGGUUGUAAAGCACUUUAAGCGAGGAGGAGGCUACUUAGAUUAAUACUCUAGGAUAGUGGACGUUACUCGCAGAAUAAGCACCGGCUAACUCUGUGCCAGCAGCCGCGGUAAUACAGAGGGUGCGAGCGUUAAUCGGAUUUACUGGGCGUAAAGCGUGCGUAGGCGGCUUUUUAAGUCGGAUGUGAAAUCCCUGAGCUUAACUUAGGAAUUGCAUUCGAUACUGGGAAGCUAGAGUAUGGGAGAGGAUGGUAGAAUUCCAGGUGUAGCGGUGAAAUGCGUAGAGAUCUGGAGGAAUACCGAUGGCGAAGGCAGCCAUCUGGCCUAAUACUGACGCUGAGGUACGAAAGCAUGGGGAGCAAACAGGAUUAGAUACC